UAAGGAAUAUUGGUCAAUGGACGAAGUCUGAACCAGCCAUGCCGCGUGGAGGAUGAAGGUCCUCUGGAUUGUAAACUUCUUUUAUCUGGGACGAAAAAAGGUCUUUCUAGAUCGUCUGACGGUACCAGAUGAAUAAGCACCGGCUAACUCCGUGCCAGCAGCCGCGGUAAUACGGAGGGUGCAAGCGUUAUCCGGAUUCACUGGGUUUAAAGGGUGCGUAGGUGGGUUGGUAAGUCAGUGGUGAAAUCUUCGAGCUUAACUCGGAAACUGCCAUUGAUACUAUCAGUCUUGAAUAUUGUGGAGGUUAGCGGAAUAUGUCAUGUAGCGGUGAAAUGCUUAGAUAUGACAUAGAACACCAAUUGCGAAGGCAGCUGGCUACACAUAUAUUGACACUGAGGCACGAAAAGCGUGGGGAUCAAAACAGGAUUAGAUACCCUGGUAGUCCACGCCCUAAACUAUGGAUACUCGACAUACGCGAUACACUGUGUGUGUCUGAGCGAAAGCUUAAGUAUCCCCACCUGGGGAAGUACAUCGCAAGAUUGAAACUU
Molecule: ribosomal RNA, 548 nt
Filed under: uncultured bacterium
Lineage: Bacteria
Description: partial 16S ribosomal RNA
Rfam family: Bacterial small subunit ribosomal RNA
Source: RNAcentral